AUGGGUUUUAUUAAAUUCCCUAAAUGGGACAUCAAGCUCAUAAACUCCCAGCUAGCUCAUUGUUUUUGGGAUGAUUAUGAAGGCCACCACAAAUAUCAUCUGACUGCCUGGAACUCUAUUAACAUGAGGAAAGAGUUUGGGGGUUUUGGUAUUACUGACCUAGGAGAUAUGAAUCUGGCUCUACUAGCCUCUUGGGUCAGUAGGUACUACAAUGUUGAGGGCAAAAUUUGGAAGAAUAUUAUUGACUCCAAGUACAACCCUCAGAAUAGCAACAUAUUUGCUUGCUCUGCUAAUGGAGCCUCCCCUUUUUGGAAAGGGGUAAUCUGGGCAGCCCAAGCUGCCAAACCUGGCUUUUCCUGGAAAAUAGGAAAUGGCAAAAGAACUAGGUUUUGGGAAGAUCACUGGUUUGGCAAUGCCACUUUAUCCACCCAAUAUUGGGACUUAUACAAUUUAGCGUAUGAGCAUAAUGUCACUAUUGAUAAAAUCUAG
RNAcentral lists this ribosomal RNA (489 nucleotides) under Triticum aestivum (bread wheat). RNAcentral's name for it is "partial small subunit ribosomal RNA". Lineage: Eukaryota; Viridiplantae; Streptophyta; Magnoliopsida; Poales; Poaceae. The record is from RNAcentral.